GAUGAAGAACGCAGCGAAAUGCGAUAAGUAAUGUGAAUUGCAGAAUUCAGUGAAUCAUCGAAUCUUUGAACGCACAUUGCGCCCGCCAGUAUUCUGGCGGGCAUGCCUGUUCGAGCGUCAUUUCAACCCUCAAGCUCUGCUUGGUGUUGGGGACCGGCCGCAGCCUCAGUGCUCUGCCGCCCCCUAAAUACAGUGGCGGUCCCGCCGCAGCUUCCAUUGCGUAGUAGCUAACACCUCGCAACUGGAGAGCGGCGCGGCCACGCCGUAAAACACCCAACUUCUGAAUGUUGACCUCGAAUCAGGUAGGAAUACCCGCUGAACUUAAGCAUAUCAAUAAGCGGAGGA
RNAcentral lists this unclassified non-coding RNA (345 nucleotides) under soil metagenome. RNAcentral's name for it is "partial contains 5.8S ribosomal RNA, internal transcribed spacer 2, and large subunit ribosomal RNA". The stretch from base 1 to 120 matches the Rfam family "5.8S ribosomal RNA", at positions 35 to 154 of the family's 154-position model. The record is from RNAcentral.